Molecule: long non-coding RNA, 390 nt
Filed under: Apteryx rowi (Okarito brown kiwi)
Lineage: Eukaryota; Metazoa; Chordata; Aves; Apterygiformes; Apterygidae
Description: lncRNA (ENSARWG00000010893.1)
Source: RNAcentral
GGCUGACGGCUCCGCUCGGUUCCAGAGCCGAAGAACAGCCUGCUCCUCCUCAUCCUUGUGGUGCUGGCUGCUGUCCUCACUGCCAUCGUGGCGGCUGCCGGCUUCGUGGUCCGGAAGAAGAGCUCAAGCAAGGGGCCGUCCGGCCGUCGGUGGGCCCUGGGCUCGCGGUGGGUGCGGAGCGGGGAGGAAGGUAGAGCCUCAGGGGAGAUGCAGUUUCUCUUGGGCUCUGGCUGCUCCAGCCUCACCAACCAUCUGCGGGGCGUCCUGUGUUAUCUUGUGACUCUCCAUGUUCUCCAUCUGGGAUCAGGUAGGAAUGUCGUGGCCCGUGUCGGGUGGUGCAGGGCUGACAUGGGUGUUGCCCAGCUGUGUCUUCCAGAUGUGCGUCGCUGU